Molecule: ribosomal RNA, 429 nt
Filed under: uncultured bacterium
Lineage: Bacteria
Description: bacterial SSU rRNA
Rfam family: Bacterial small subunit ribosomal RNA
Source: RNAcentral
UGGGGAAUUUUGGACAAUGGGCGCAAGCCUGAUCCAGCCAUGCCGCGUGCGGGAAGAAGGCCUUCGGGUUGUAAACCGCUUUUGUCAGGGAAGAAAUAGCUUGGGCUAAUACCUCGAGUUGAUGACGGUACCUGAAGAAUAAGCACCGGCUAACUACGUGCCAGCAGCCGCGGUAAUACGUAGGGUGCAAGCGUUAAUCGGAAUUACUGGGCGUAAAGCGUGCGCAGGCGGAUUCGUAAGACAGAGGUGAAAUCCCCGGGCUCAACCUGGGAACUGCCUUUGUGACUGCGAGGCUUGAGUACGGCAGAGGGGGAUGGAAUUCCGCGUGUAGCAGUGAAAUGCGUAGAUAUGCGGAGGAACACCGAUGGCGAAGGCAGUCCCCUGGGCCUGUACUGACGCUCAUGCACGAAAGCGUGGGGAGCAAACAGG